GACAGGUGGUGCAUGGUUGUCGUCAGCUCGUGUCGUGAGAUGUUGGGUUAAGUCCCGCAACGAGCGCAACCCUUAAGCUUAGUUGCCAUCAUUAAGUUGGGCACUCUAAGUUGACUGCCGGUGACAAACCGGAGGAAGGUGGGGAUGACGUCAAAUCAUCAUGCCCCUUAUGAUUUGGGCUACACACGUGCUACAAUGGACAAUACAAAGGGCAGCGAAACCGCGAGGUCAAGCAAAUCCCAUAAAGUUGUUCUCAGUUCGGAUUGUAGUCUGCAACUCGACUACAUGAAGCUGGAAUCGCUAGUAAUCGUAGAUCAGCAUGCUACGGUGAAUACGUUCCCGGGUCUUGUACACACCGCCCGUCACACCACGAGAGUUUGUAACACCCGAAGCCGGUGGAGUAACCUUUUAGGAGCUAGCCGUCGAAGGUGGGACAAAU
Molecule: ribosomal RNA, 439 nt
Filed under: Staphylococcus aureus
Lineage: Bacteria; Bacillati; Bacillota; Bacilli; Caryophanales; Staphylococcaceae
Description: bacterial SSU rRNA
Rfam family: Bacterial small subunit ribosomal RNA
Source: RNAcentral